UGCUGUUCUCAAAGCACUGUCCA
Molecule: unclassified non-coding RNA, 23 nt
Filed under: Mus musculus (house mouse)
Lineage: Eukaryota; Metazoa; Chordata; Mammalia; Rodentia; Muridae
Description: oocyte_clustered_small_RNA13034
Source: RNAcentral